RNAcentral lists this ribosomal RNA (533 nucleotides) under uncultured Gammaproteobacteria bacterium. RNAcentral's name for it is "bacterial SSU rRNA". It matches the Rfam family "Bacterial small subunit ribosomal RNA", at positions 378 to 899 of the family's 1533-position model. Lineage: Bacteria; Pseudomonadati; Pseudomonadota; Gammaproteobacteria. The record is from RNAcentral.
CAASCCUGAUSCAGCAAUGCCGCGUGUGUGAAGAAGGCCUGCGGGUUGUAAAGCACUUUUAUUGGGAAAGAAAACCUUGGGGUUAAWAACCCCGGGGCUUGACGGUACCCGACAGAAUAAGCACCGGCUAACUCCGUGCCAGCAGCCGCGGUAAUACCGAAGGGUGCAAGCGUUAAUUGGAAUUACUGGGCGUAAAGCGAGKGUAGGCGGCUUGGUAAGUUGRAUGUGAAAGCCCCGGGCUUAACCUGGGAAUUGCAUUUGAUACUGGCCGGCUAGAGUUUGAUAAAGGGAAAGUGGAAUUCCGGGUGUAGCGGUGAAAUGCGUARAUAUUCGGAGGAACACCAGUGGCGAAGGCGGCUUUCUGGAUCAAAACUGACCCUKAGGCUCGAAAGCGUGGGGAGCAAACCGGAUUARAUACCCUGGUAGUCCCCGCCCUAAACGAUGUCAACUUAGACGUUGGGGGCUUUAACCCUUUAGUGUCGMAGCUAACGCGUUAAGUUGACCGCCUGGGAAGUACGGCCCCAAGGUUAAAA